RNAcentral lists this unclassified non-coding RNA (89 nucleotides) under Pseudomonas brenneri. Lineage: Bacteria; Pseudomonadati; Pseudomonadota; Gammaproteobacteria; Pseudomonadales; Pseudomonadaceae. The record is from RNAcentral.
UGUGGGAGCGGGCUUGCUCGCGAAAGCGUCAGGUCAGUCGACCCAUCUGUUACUGAUACACCGCAUUCGCGAGCAAGCCCGCUCCCACA